RNAcentral lists this long non-coding RNA (386 nucleotides) under Cucumis sativus (cucumber). RNAcentral's name for it is "long non-coding RNA (CSAT_LNC000556)". Lineage: Eukaryota; Viridiplantae; Streptophyta; Magnoliopsida; Cucurbitales; Cucurbitaceae. The record is from RNAcentral.
CCAUGGCGAGCAACUGAAAGUAACAAAGACAAUAAUGGAAGUGUUGCAAGCCGAAAAUGCCAAAUUGAAGACGAAAAUAGUCCAACAGCAAGGGAAGUUAGACACUAUGGCUGCAAGUUAAAAUCAAUUAUCAUAUGUGGUCUCAAAUCUCACUUCAUUAGUCCUUGCAAAGUCAAAACUAAUACCACUGAUAGGGAUGCGACAUGAUAAACAGUUUCGAGCUUCAAUGGGAAUACACCCAUGCAGUGUUUGUUCAAUGUGUACCAGCUCCUAUCAUACCGCUAGACUUGGAAGCACCAUUCUCACCACCGAAUCUUGACAAUUCUGAUCCUCGCCAAGAAGAUUAAAUUUGUGGGUGUCUUCCAAUCUUUUGUAUUUUCCAUUUC